This 468-nucleotide ribosomal RNA is filed under the name uncultured bacterium. Its description in RNAcentral is "partial 16S ribosomal RNA". It matches the Rfam family "Bacterial small subunit ribosomal RNA", at positions 28 to 507 of the family's 1533-position model. The record is from RNAcentral.
GACGAACGCUGGCGGCGUGCUUAACACAUGCAAGUCGAACGGAAAGGCCCUGCUUUUGUGGGGUGCUCGUGUGGCGAAGGGGGGAGUAACACGUGAGUAACCUGCCCCUGACUUUGGGAUAACUUCAGGAAACUGGGGCUAAUACCGGAUAGGAGCUCUUGCUGCAUGGUGGGGGUUGGAAAGUUUCGGCGGUUGGGGAUGGACUCGCGGCUUAGCAGCUGGUUGGUGGGGUAGUGGCUUACCAGGGCUUUGACGGGUAGCCGGCCUGGGAGGGUUGCCGGCCACCUUGGGACUGAGGUACGGCCCAGACUCCUACGGGAGGCAGCAGUGGAGAAUAUUACACAAUGGGCGGACGCGUGAUGCAGCAACGCCGCGUGCGGGAUGACGGCCUUCGGGUUGUGAACCGAUUUCGCCUGUGCCGAAGCGUGAGUGACGGUACUGGGUAAAGAAGCCCCGGCUAACUACGUG